AAUCAACUAAAAAGAUCAGGAGAAUGUUUUAAUAUUCUAUGGAACAGUCGAACGUUAAUGUAAUAUACACAUUUGACUUGUCAAGUGGUUAGGAAAUUUGAUUCACAGAAGUUAGAAAUCUCAAAUUCCUAAACGGUAAUCACUCGCAAACUACCAAAAUCAAAUUUUAAUUUUACAACAGCUUGGAAGCAGAAUUUGAAAUAAUAUACCAGACAAUGAAUCAAUCUACUAGUGAAGCCCAACCACAGACUUGUCAAGCCCAGAAACAUCUCAGCAAAAUACUGUUAGCAUGAAGAAUGGGGUCUUCUCAUCUAAAAUUGUAAAUCACAAAGACUCCGGAGUCGUAGAGGGUCUUAUUCUCGAGGGCAUUUGCAUUUGUUCCCCUCCAAAUCUAUAAGUGAAGCCAUUCUUGGGUGUGAUAGACAUUUUGUUCAUUGCAUAGUCAAAUUCAUCAAGAUCAAGAUGUUGCUCAUCUAAACUCCCUGCCCCCUCUUCUUCCAUAAAACUCUCCCCAUUAACUACAACAAAAUCUUCUGUAAUAUCUUCAUCGCUGCUAUCUUCCUCAUCACUACCAUAAGUAGUUCUGACAUGCUUCCAGUACACAAAAUUUGGGCGGAUAUAACCUCUGUCACAUUUUUUCAGCAAACAUGGGUCAAAUGGGAAGAACAUGUCCAGUCUCUCCAGUCCACCAAAGUCCCUAGAGAAAUCCGAUUCCAACAAAUCUUCAAAAAUGAAUGUUUCAGAUGUGGUGAGCAAAUAAGCAGCUUUUGCCUGUUUGAGAAACUCUUCUACUAUGGAUGGCAGGCAUACCUUAAGAGGAUCCAAUUUAUGUUUCAAGACUGGCCCUAGAGGCAUGACCAGAAGCUGAGAUUUGAGCCUAGGAACAUCCAUAAGAGACCUCAUUCGAAAGCAGAGAACAUACAUUAUGGCCUGGCAUCCAGAAUAGAAAACUCGAUGUGCUUUCGGGUUCAUUUCACCAUUCUGGGUUUCACAAUAUUCCAAACACCAGUCCACCAGCCUUUUCAAUGUGCUAGCAACAAAAGCAGCAGACAGAAACUUUGCACGAGCCAAAUAACUAGCAAGAUAAGCCACAGCACUCAUUCUGGUAACGGCGUUGUCACUGCAAACAAACCUAUCUACAAGCGUGUUGGCAAAUUUCACGCCACAUUUUUCAGGAUCCAGUGCACAGGCAUAGAACAUUACAAACUGAGCAAACUUUGACUUGUAUGUGUUUAGGAUAGUUAGCAUGAAUGAAUCCAAAAGAGUUUCAAACACCUCACCCAAACGCUUAUUUCUUGCACACGAUUCAAGAUGCUCAAAAGUUUGCACCAUCAAGCUAUCUAAUAGAUCAGCAACAAUGUUUUUACCUAAACUCUUACGAUUUAAAGUUCUUGGAAGCUCGGCAUAAUCAUUUUCAUCAUUAUCAUCAUCAGCAGCAACCUCAUCUGCAUCUUCUAGCUCAAUUGCAAAAAUUCCUUUACAAGAGUCAUCUUGUAAAAUGUCAUCCCAACCAAUAGCCACAUCCAACUCGAUCAGCAUAUCAACCACUGCCAUAAGCAUCCUGCUUCCAACAAAUUCUCUGAUUGCACCACUCUCUAAUCUUAAAAUGUUCUCCACAUAGACCUCAGUCUACCAAAGCAAGUAAAUGAGUCUCCAUAUUAGAUGAUCUAGAAAAACUUGUAAUCGAUAGUAGGAAAUAUUUCUCGGAAGCAAAUCAUAAAAGCAUCAAUGUUGACCCAUUCAUGGAUGACCUAUAUAUGGGAAACGCAGCACCAGCACCAGCACACUGAAUUAAAUAAUAGAAAGGAAAGCAGAGCUUAACUAUAACUUGCAAUGGCACAGAGAGGUUUACUUUACCCAACCUCAAGCUAAAAUUAACAAGAGAAAUGAUGAAACAGUAUCCUGUAUCAACAAUAAUGCACAUUGAGAGGCUUUAUGUUGUGACCAAGUGUCAAGAAUAGAGUAUAAAUUUGUUGGGAAACAAUGAAACUAAUAUGAAUAGGAGUUGCUCAUAAAUAGCCACAGAAAAUAGAUUGACUAGCAUUCUAAUGGUCCGUAUAAGAGUCGAUAUAAAUUUCAAUUAAAAUCAUUUUACUGCAUACAAGUAAUCUGAUGAACAUUAAGUUCAUGAUAACAAUAACUUCAAAAUGAAUAGACAAUACCAAAUAACGUAGAGGAAAAUGAUUAAUAUAUGAAAUGGAAUACACAGACAUCAGAUACUAGCAUUUUUCAUGCAAAUGGCCAAACGAAUAAUUGGAACAGUCACAGAAGGGACAAAGGGAUCUUCAACUGCAAAUAAUAUAUGCAUGUCUUUACUAAUAAUUCUCUAACCAGGAAAUUCUAAAAUGACAAGGAAUGCAGUACCAAAUUAUAAAUCUAAUCUAAUGAUAACUGUAGACACAUCAUUCAAAAGAGUAAACCAAACUCACUCGAUACAUUAGAUGAUCCUUCUGAAGAUCCUUCUUAAAGGUUGUUGGCAUCCUGUGUACAACUACUGAUGAUAAUCUAGAGGCUGCCAUAGGUAUCAAGUCAACAAUACCUUCCAGAGCUGUAUGCACCCGGGAAAGAACUUGUUCCUUUUUUGCCAGACCACGUGGCUGCUUUAGCGUAUUUACUAAAUACAUUGGUGGCAUGAAAUUGCUUACGAGCAUAUCCAAGCAUGAAUCAACAUACUUUCCAUUUGAAGCAGCCUUUAGAAUAAUAAACAUUAAAAAUAAACAACAAAUAACUCGUAUUAUAGAAAAUACAGCAGAUAUGAAUCACUAAACUACAUACCAAGGCAAUAAUCAGCUCAAGCAAAGCAUCCAUCACAUCAGGUCCAUAUUUCCACAAGCUCAUUCCAAAAAUCUGAUAGAUAGUUCAUUAUGAAAAUAUACAAAUAAUUUUAAUGCAUUAAAUUUAAGAGCUAAUUGAAAUUACACCAACUCACAGAAUUAAGAAGAGAAUCAUGGUGAACAUUGUCAAUAUAAGAAACUGCCCCAGAUAGCGCCUUUAGACUGGUCACAAGAAGGGCCACCUCAUCAGGGGCAAGUCGUUCUGAAUGAUGCAUGACACCAACAAGCUGGUGAUAACUGUCACUAUCUCCCUAAUCCAGCCAAAGUCAGCAUUAUAUUAAUUAAUAAAGUGGAUGUAAUUAUGAAAAGGCCAACAAUACACAUAAUUCAAUAGAUGAAUUGAUCCAGAAAUUAAACAAGUCUAAGUCAAUAGUUCCUUUCAAGACGACUAGCUUGAAAAACUAACUUCUGCGACUGGUGUGUUCCAGUGUUGUGAAAGGCGCUCGAGGCGCCCUGGCAAGGUGCCACUCUCUAGCCUCGCCUGACGCCGCUUGGGU
This 3331-nucleotide unclassified non-coding RNA is filed under the name Hevea brasiliensis (rubber tree). The record is from RNAcentral. Lineage: Eukaryota; Viridiplantae; Streptophyta; Magnoliopsida; Malpighiales; Euphorbiaceae.